GACGAACGCUGGCGGCGUGCUUAACACAUGCAAGUCGAGCGGUAAGGCCCUUUCGGGGGUACACGAGCGGCGAACGGGUGAGUAACACGUGGGUGACCUGCCCUUAGCUCUGGGAUAAGCCUGGGAAACUGGGUCUAAUACCGGAUAUGACUCCAUGACGCAUGUUGUGGGGUGGAAAGCCUUGUGCGGCUAGGGAUGGGCCCGCGGCCUAUCAGCUUGUUGGUGGGGUGAUGGCCUACCAAGGCGACGACGGGUAGCCGGCCUGAGAGGGCGACCGGCCACACUGGGACUGAGACACGGCCCAGACUCCUACGGGAGGCAGCAGUGGGGAAUCUUGCGCAAUGGGCGAAAGCCUGACGCAGCGACGCCGCGUGAGGAU
Molecule: ribosomal RNA, 379 nt
Filed under: uncultured bacterium
Lineage: Bacteria
Description: bacterial SSU rRNA
Rfam family: Bacterial small subunit ribosomal RNA
Source: RNAcentral